GGUGAUAAAGAGCCGCCUGUUCCAGAUGGGAUCUCUGCUGGGCCGCCCUGUGGCUGUAUACCUGCCAGCGCUGAAACCAGUUACGGAGACGACCUGAAGUGGAUGGAGACCAGACAACUCUAAGAUUUUCAUUCGCAGGGCCACUGUCUAGAGCAUUUCUGAGAAGAGGCCAGCCUUCACCAAAUGCAGCUGCUGCCUCAGCAGGGAACUACAUGGCCACCAGCAGGUAGACCUCUGCCACUCAAGAGCUCCCAGCAACCUGCUUUCUUCAGAACAGCCAUGACCCACAGCCUGCCUCUGCUACUGUUUCUGUCUGAACCACUUCCCUGUGUUAUGUCCCAACACCACGCUCAUCCGUAGCACGGGACCUGCAGGGUAUUUCCACACAUCCACCCCAGCCAAGGAAACGAGGUGGUUUGGGGCCAUUUCAAACUAUGGACAACCAAGGACCUUGCAAUCUGCGAGCCAGUGAGUAAAAUCUGGCACUCUUCCAAUAAAGACACCGAAUCUCA
Molecule: long non-coding RNA, 512 nt
Organism: Mesocricetus auratus (golden hamster)
Lineage: Eukaryota; Metazoa; Chordata; Mammalia; Rodentia; Cricetidae
Exons: 2
Source: RefSeq, a predicted model, not a curated record